ACAUAAGCAAAUUGAGAGCUAUAGAGACCCUUCUUUAAAUGGAAAAGCUUGGUACUAUAAGAUGGGUGUAUAUGACUAAGCUUCUCUUCAUUGUACUGUGUGUGUUUGAAAGUGUGUGAGAGAGAGAGACAGCAUUGCUAGGGUAUUCAGACUUCAGAGAGUUGUGUUUGUGUUAAGAUGGAGAGAGUUACUAAGGUGUUUUUGAUGCUCACCAUCCUGCUACUGGUCCUUUCAUCUGAUGUUGAAAGAGGAAGGCAACUCAAGAGCAAUGACAAGGUUGAACACCCUCAGAACUUUCUUGGAGGCAUUGGUGGGGUUGGUGGGUUCAUUCCAAGUCCAGGUUUUGCUGGUGGCAUUGGCUCUGGCUCUGGCUCUGGUCCAUCAAGCUUUUGUACUUUCUUCCCAGGUGGCUGUGUUCCAAUCCUCCCCACAAUCCCUGGUAGUGGUGUUCCCAUUGGUGUUGGCUCACCACCAUGAAAGAAUGAAGGACAUGGAUGCACAAUAGGGUCUCUGGCUUACUGGUCUUGUUUGAGGUCUUUCAGAGUUAGGACUUGUUUUAGGUAUUAGUAGUUUGGGAUCUACUAGCUAGUUGCUUUGUGCUUUGUUUAUUUUUCUUUUUCUUAUGAUCGAGUUUCUAGUCUUUUGGGCCUUGAUGGUGUUGUUAGGGUCAAAUCUUGUAGUGUUAGGACUUUAUAUUUGGUAGAAAUGAAAGUUUUCACCUUUGGGAAUGUCUGCUGCUUUUUUGAGAAUGUGA
Long non-coding RNA from Quercus lobata, 754 nucleotides. RefSeq lists it as uncharacterized. Lineage: Eukaryota; Viridiplantae; Streptophyta; Magnoliopsida; Fagales; Fagaceae. The transcript is spliced from 2 exons. The record is from RefSeq and is a predicted model, not a curated record.